AGGGAAGAUAUUCACUGCCAUUUGGUCUGUAACUGUCUAGGGUUAUAAGGCUAACCAUCACAAUCUUCUAAUUAAAUUAUACAAAUCUACUGGAAGAACCAUUUACAUAAAAAUAAAUUAAUUUCAUGGAUGCUUAUCAGAAAUCAUUGUGCACCAGCCAGAUUUAUAGGCAGUGAGUGCCAACGAAAGUGCUCAUUUUAGCUGAUCAUUAUCCAAUAAUAAUAAAAUGGUAAAAAGAAAUAUGAAUACAAACAGAAUUGUCACAAACAACUGAUCAAUUUAAUUUGAUUUUUAUUUAUUGCAAUAAAGAUGUACAAAGUAUUGGUAACCGUAAAUGUUAAAAUGUUAGAAAAAAGCAUAUCUGUGACAGGUAACAGUUACAGUAUAUCAAAACAUUACCGUUUCAACCAGCUAGGCAGAUCUGACCAGCCUCGGAGGGAGGAGUGGGGAGGAGGGGGGGGGCAGCCUCGGAAGGAGGGAGUGGGGAAGAGAGGAGGGAGGGGACACUUUGAACCGGUUGUCAACACAGCUUUUUUCAAAGGCAUAUAUAAAAGAUAGAAAUGUACAGAAAGACAGAAAAGGAAAUUAAAGACAAAAUUUUUUUUUGAAAGAGAUCAAAACAUAAAAUCAACAUGCAAUUUAACUUAAUAAAACCAAAAUAAAACAAAAACAAAAAAAAAA
Anguilla rostrata (American eel) is the source of this 681-nucleotide long non-coding RNA. RefSeq lists it as uncharacterized. The record is from RefSeq and is a predicted model, not a curated record. Lineage: Eukaryota; Metazoa; Chordata; Actinopteri; Anguilliformes; Anguillidae. The transcript is spliced from 2 exons.